Saccostrea cuccullata (small rock oyster) is the source of this 3104-nucleotide long non-coding RNA. RefSeq lists it as uncharacterized. The record is from RefSeq and is a predicted model, not a curated record. The transcript has 3 exons. NCBI's taxonomy places the organism in Eukaryota, Metazoa, Mollusca, Bivalvia, Ostreida, Ostreidae.
CAAGAUGAAAUGUUCUGCAGCAAACCUUUGCCUGGAUCCAUUUUCACUCGAUAUAGAACCUUCCAAACUCUUGAAAAUGAAGAAUUGGAAAGUAUCUUUAUAGAUAGUCCACUAAUGGCAGUUCACUAUUUCUCAUUCAUUCUGCUGAAAGAAGCAAUGGUUUAUCUGAUCUGUAACAAAACAGGACUGCCUUAUGAAGAGGCUGAUGCAAGAUGCUCAUCAACAGAGUGUUUAGUGAAAGAUGUCCAUCUAUAAGUGACUGUUCAGUCCAAAAACUUAUUAUGCCAUACAAACUUAUAAUGCCAUACAACAAACCAGUAUUUGGUUCUUUUGUAACUUCAUAUGUGAUAAAUGUUGCAGUAUGAUGUGUAGUGACUGGAUUGUGUUGUGAAGUGACUGGAUUAUGUAGUCAAAUGAAUGGAUUAUGUUGUGUUGUGAUUGGGUUAUGUAGUGCGGUGACUGGGUUAUGUUAUGUAGUGACUGGGAUAUGUUGUGUAGUGACUGGGUUAUGUUGUGUAGUGACUGGGAUAUGUUGUGCAGUGACUGGGUUAUGUAAUGUAGUGACUGUUUUAUGUUGUGCAGUGACUGGGAUAUGUUGUGCAGUGACUGGGUUAUGUUGUGUAGUGACUGGGUUAUGUUGUGUAGUGAUUGGGAUAUGUUGUGUAGUGACUGGGAUAUGUUGUAUUGUAGUGACUGAGAUAUGUAGAGUAGUGACUGGGAUAUGUUGUGUAGUGACUGGGUUAUGUUGCGCAGUGACUGAAUUAUGUAGUGUUGUGACUGAGAUAUGUAGUGUAGUGACUGGGUUAUGUUGUGUAGUGACUGGGAUAUGUAGUGUAGUAACUAGGUAAUGUUGUGUAGUGACUGGGAUAUGUUGUGCAGUGACUGGGAUAUGUAGUGUAGUGACUGUUUUAUGUUGUGCAGUGACUGGGAUAUGUAGUGUAGUGACUAGGUUAUGUUGUGUAGUGACUGGGAUAUGUUGUGCAGUGACUGGGUUAUGUGGUGUAGUGACUGUUUUAUGUUGUGCAGUGACUGGGAUAUGUUGUGUAGUGACUGGGAUAUGUAUUGUAGUGACUGGGUUAUGUUGUGUAGUGACUAGGAUAUGUAGUGUUGUGACUGGGUUAUGUUUUGCAGUGAAUUGGAUAUGUAGUGUAGUGACUGGGUUAUGUUGUGCAGUGACUGGGAUAUGUAGAGUAGUGGCUGGGAUAUGUUGUGUAGUGACUGGGUUAUGUUGUGUAGUGACUGGGUUAAGUUGUGUAGUGACUGGGUUAUGUUGCGCAGUGAUUGGGAUGUGUUGUGUAGUGACAGGGUUAUGUUGUGUAGUGACUGGGAUUUGUUGUGUAGUGACUGGGUUAUGUUGUGUAGUGACUGGGUUAUGUUGUGUAGUGACAUUUUUUUGUAGUGAAGAGACUACCAUAUAUACUCGCCUAUAAGUCGGUUUUUUGGGAGUAAAUAUCUGGUCCAAAACUCUGUAUCCGACUUAUAGGCGAGCUAUCAAAACAAUGGUAUUAUAUGAGGUCAGUCCUUCUGAAAUAUAAGCUAAUUAAAUACAACCGACUUAUAGGCGGACCGACUUAUAGGCGAGUAUAUACGGUAGUUUAUGUAGUGCAGUGACUGAGUUAUGUAGUGUUGUGACAGGUUCAUUUUAGCUAAUGACUGGAUUUAGUUUCUGUAUUUAUUGGGUUUCAUUAUAAAAUGAAUUGUCAAUUUUAUGCAGUAAUAUAAUAUGUAGUGACCUAAUUAUUAUACUUAAUGAAUGGUUAUCAAGUGAUGGGUUAUGUUAUGAAGUGAUGUGUGUUAUGUUCCAGGGUAACCCUGUUAUGAUUUUGUAAUAUUAUGACUGCAUUAUAUUGUAUCAUGCCUUGAAUAUUUUGCAUCAUAAUUAAGUUAUGGAAGUUACAUUUGUGUUGUAGUGACUUGGUUAUGCUUUUAUUAUCAAGUUAUGUUUAUACAUAAAUUGAUACUUUUGUACUGUGUUAUUCAGUACUGUUAUUGAUUUAUAGUUUACUGUGUUCUUAUUUUUUCCAUUGCAACAAAGUGACCAUGUGACAUUAUAAUUAAGAUGGGCAGAUAUUGAUUUCAGUAGGUUAAUAAUUUUAAAAAUGGAAUAUAAAUCAUCCAUUAAUUUAUUGUUUUAUGUUCAUAAUGAUUUGUUUUGUGUUUUUCUUAUUUUCUUUCUUUAUCAUCUGGUUUUGCUUUUCCCUUCGUUUUGUUUUGAUCCAAUUUAGAAGAUUGUGGAAAUGUCAACAUAUAUAUGUGUCAAAUAUAAGGGCAAGUCAGUAUAGAAUGAUUCUGAAAAUGAAUGCAUGCAUACAUUAUCAGUAUAUUAGGUCUAUUUUGCAUAAGCACAAUUACUUGUAGUAAUGUACUGUAACAUUUCUUUCCUGAUUACAUUCAAGUUUGAGUUUGAAUGCAUGAGUGUCUUGAAUACCUAUAAGAUUAGUAUAUGUUUACUCGCUAGACAGAUCAACUAUGCAUUUUAUAAGGCAUUGUUUCAAGGUACCCAUUGCAUUCAAGUCAGGCUUUUAGUCGCUAUACUUAUGCAAUAUUAAUUUGAAUGAUUAUUUUUAAAAUUUAUGGUCUCAUAUCUGUAACGAUGUGGUCAAACAAAUUGAGUGAGAUGCGUUAAUAAUAAUCUCAUUAAGAUUUGUAGAGAAUAAACAUUUUGGAUUGUUAUACCUUUAAGAAUUUGUUCCUAUACAAAUCUAUACAAAAAAAGUCUAAUGUUUUGCUGAGCGGGCAUAAAAAAAAUCGAUGUUGGACCACAGAGUUCUCGAGCAAAAUGCGUUUUGUUGGACCCUCGAACCAAACUGUCUGCCUUUGGCCUAAACGCCUCAGGCAGGCAGUUUGGUUCGAGGGUCCGACAAAACGCAUGUUGCCCUCGAACUCAGUCAAUAAAUGUAUAUUGACAUCUCCAGACCAAAUUUUUUAGUCUCUACAAAUCUUGCUGAGAUUAUGUUAGUCUUAUUGAAAAUUUGUUUGAAAAGUUAUUGCUUUAUCUGACGAUGUGAUUUAUAUUUCCAUAAUUACAUUCCUGUAUUGUUUUUUAAACUGUGUGUAGGAUGGGAAGGUUAACGGUUAAGCAAUGAAUAAAUAAUAUAUAAUAA